AUUCCCCUAGUAACUGCGAGUGAAGCGGGAAAAGCUCAAAUUUGAAAUCUGGCGGCUCCGUCGCCCGAGUUGUAUUCUGGAGAAGCGUUUUCCGUGCCGGACCGUGUACAAGUCCCUUGGAACAGGGCGUCAUAGAGGGUGAGAAUCCCGUCUUUGACACGGACUCCCGGUGCUAUGUGAUGCGCUCUCGAAGAGUCGAGUUGUUUGGGAAUGCAGCUCAAAAUGGGUGGUAAAUUCCAUCUAAAGCUAAAUAUUGGCGAGAGACCGAUAGCGAACAAGUACCGUGAGGGAAAGAUGAAAAGCACUUUGGAAAGAGAGUAAAACAGUACGUGAAAUUGUUGAAAGGGAAACGCUUGAAGUCAGUCGCGUCUGCCGGAACUCAGCCUUGCUUCUGCUCGGUGCACUUUCCGGUUCGACGGGCCAGCAUCGGUUUUGGGCGGCGGACACUGGCGCGGGGAAGGUGGCAGCUCCGGCUGUGUUAUAGCCCCGCGUCGCAAACGCCGUCCGGGACCGAGGAAUCCGGCGCAAGCCUGGGAUGCUGGCGUAAUGGCUUUAAACGACCCGUCUUGAAACACGGACCAAGGAGUGCUACACGCUCGCGAGUGUUUGGGUGGAAAACCCGGACGCGCAAUGAAAGUGAAAGUCGAUACCCCUCGCGGGGGCACCGACGCCCGAGCCUGAUGUUUUCGGAAGGCCUUGCGGUAGAGCGAGUGCGUUGCGACCCGAAAGAUGGUGAACUAUUCCUGAGGAGGGCGAAGCCAGAGGAAACUCUGGUGGAGGCUCGUAGCGGUUCUGACGUGCAAAUCGAUCGCAGGACUUGGGUAUAGGGGCGAAAGACUAAUCGAACCAUCUAGUAGCUGGUUCCUGCCGAAG
Molecule: ribosomal RNA, 873 nt
Filed under: Trechispora nivea
Lineage: Eukaryota; Fungi; Basidiomycota; Agaricomycetes; Trechisporales; Hydnodontaceae
Description: partial large subunit ribosomal RNA
Rfam family: Eukaryotic large subunit ribosomal RNA
Source: RNAcentral